GGUACCCGAGUUCUUUGGCCACAGACCGCGCCCAGGCAGACCCCUUAAGGCCUCGCCCACCAAGCCCUUGCCACUGAGUUUACGUAAGGCCCGCCCAGCUUCAUUUAAUUCCUCCACUCCCCGCAGGCCCCGCCCCUCAAGGCCUCCUGAGCCCCGCCCCUCCGCCCCUCCUCCUUAUAUAUCCUCCCCGGGCCCCGCCCCCCGGGCUCCCAGCUGCCGACUUAGGGAGCGCGAGCAAACGCACUCUUCCGGCUUCUGCAGGGGGCGGACUCGCUCUCACCGGAAGUAGGACUCAGGCCUGGCUUAUUGGGUCCCGAGGUAGCCAAUCCGCGGAGAAGUAAGAGGCGCCAAUGAGAAUAGGGUGUGGCGGCGGGUGGGCGGGUCCCUCCGGGGCGCCGCAGCGGUUGGCGCGCGCUGGGCUCGCGGCCCGCUGUCGGCCUCUCCUCCGGGGCUGGCUGCGCUCGGCACGCCAGGGUGUCCAAUCCCCGCGCCCCGCGGACCGGCCGCAGAAUGCGCCCUCGGGCUCCAGUCCUCACGGCCUGAUCUCAGGGCCCCGGAGUUCCUCAGGGCUUGCCCGCCCGCGGAACCAAAGCCUGUCCCUCACCGUCCUCAGAAAGCCGUUCUCCUUACCGAGCCUCUCCAGUCAGAGAUUCGCCCUCUUGACGGAGAAUCGGAGCCGAACUUGGCUCGAGGCCCCUGAGGCCCCGUGAGUCGUCUCCACAGCAUCUGUCACCUGCGGAUCCUGUCUUCGCACUGGCCGGCCGGGCCGCUCUCCUCCAGAAGGCCUCAUGGAGCCUCGACUCGGCCGUCAGGCCUCCUCACAGACUCCGCUCCUAGGAGGCCGGGCCCCUCGGACUGCCGCCCCGCCGCUCCCUCGGGUCUCGGGCGUUCCCUCACCAGUACUCGAUCCUCCCCUCCCUGCCCAGUGGGGCCUGUGGCCCGGAGGCAGCCUCUGCCUCGCCGGGUGUCCAGGGCUGGCUGCCUGGGCCGAGGAAAGAUGUGUUACGUAACUUCUUCCCUUGCGGAGGGAGACGGUGAGCGAGGAGCUAGGAGACAGGACCUGCAUCCGGGCCACUUUUCACCUCGUAGCACAGUGGUUUGGGGUUCCUGGGUCUGUAGACUGCAGACUCCAGGACAAGAUGUGUGCAGCUGAUGUCCGACCCACAGCCCCUGGUAGGGAGCACCACGAGCAGCUCUCCAUAUCCGACACGCUCCGCUCCCCAGCAGCUGCAAGGCCCGGGGCGGCUACCUCCUGUGGCUCUCCCCUCCAGGCCUGCCUAGCACUUGGAAGGCAUUCCUUCAAUAACUGAAUCGGUAAAGGGGGUGCCAAGGUUGGGAAUGAAUGACGAGCAAUCCUCUACAUGCCUGCUGUGGCCCCAGUUAAACAGGGGAAGGUCACAGCUAUAGUGACUCUGAAGCACUUGGACUAUCCUACUGGCAGAGGACUUGGAGCAUCUGAAGUUCACGAAGGGAUGGGCGGUAGACUCCUCCUCCAGCAGUUCCACAUACUGGUUAAAGAGCCAGCUUUGCAGACAAACAGACAUGAAUUCAAAUCCUACCUCUUCGACUUCCUAGUUGUGGGAAUUUAGGCAAGUUACUUCAUUUUUCUAAACUUCAGUGUCUUUGUGGAGAUGACCACCCUACUAUUAGUUCUCCCCAGAGUCAUGGCAAGGAUUACAUGAAAUUAUGUACCUAAAAGUGCUUAGAACAAGGCCUGCCACUCAAUGCCUGGGAAAUGAGAGGUGUCAUACUGUCUUUGCUGUUGUCUUACAAAUGCAGCAUGCACAGCAACCCCUUGAGCCCAAUUAUUUACCAUCCCUGGGGAACUGAACCUCCCUUUUUAUCCCUUUGCCCUAGCAGAAGGUAAGAACCAAAGAAUUCCAAACAGACCAUUUAUUUUCUAAGAAUCAAUAUAUUUUCUUCCUUUGAAAUAAAUACAAACCAGUUUGAAAGGUGGGGGAAUCUAUGGGAAAAAGGGAAGUGGGGACAGGCCCCAGUCUUUUUUAGUACCAAAUGACUCUGGCGCGACCCGGAAACGCAGUUACAAAUGAGAAUAAUUUAAAUUCUCCGCUAAUUACAGUAUUUACAACAGCAGGGGAGGGGGUCACCUAGUGCCCCUCUUCCGGGCUGGACAGACAUCAAUCCCACGGCUAGGCUGGGCAGAUGCCCGCUCACCUCACCACCUGCAGGGGGCCUCAGGCCACUAGGCAGUUACAGAUUCUCCUGGACCGAGCAGAGCAGGCAGAUGUGGUGGGAUGGCCUGUUUUAUGCAGUGUCCUAACCUUGGCCCACCACCCUGCACUACAAUGCUGUGAGGUCUCUGGAGCUUUCUAGCCAGUGGCGCCUCCCCUCUCCUUACGCAGAGCCACCAUGGGCCCUUGGAGUGUUCUGUACAGUCCAGCUGCACUCAGGGCGGGAGGGACCUCCCCCACCCAGCUUCCCCUGAGACUGGCCCCAAGACCAGGAAUGAGUCAGUGCAGAGGCCGGUGCCACUCCAGGACAGUGAGCCAAGGGGGAGGAGAGCGGUGGCAGGGCACUGUAGGUUGGGCUGUGCUGGGCAUUAUCAGUCACUAUCACUGGUCUCACUGCUCUGCUCGCCCUGCACCUUGCUGCGGUGCUGCAGAGCCCUGUGGUAGGCAAUCUGCACUGACUUGCGGAUGUUGGAUUUGCGGCCCUCCAGCAUCUUUUCCUUGUCGAGGUCCUGGUUCACACCCAGAGGAACCAGCUUAGUUCUCGGCAGCCACUGCCUGUAGGACGAGGUGAGGAUCACAUAAGUCAUCUCUGGGAAAGCAACAAGCAUGAGCCUUCACUCCUUCAAAAACACCUCUUGAGCACCCACUCUGGGCCUGGCUCUGGUGGGCAGCAGGGUUACUGAGACUGAGAGAAACAGUCCCUACCCUCAAGGAACUGCUUAUAGUCUAGUGAUGAAAAGAGCCCAGUUAAAAGACACACUACAGGAUAACCAUAGGGUAUUUAUGAGUGCAAAAAGGAGGAACUGUGACCUAACCUGAAAUAGGUACCCUGUCCCAUUGGCUCCAGGCAGACUUUACUGACAUUAAACAUCCUCUGUAGACAACACAUAAAAACACUACAUUACGUACAUGUGACAGAAGAGAGACUCAGAACGUGAAUGUUUAUGCCUGUUUUAUCCCCAUUUUGUCACCAUGGAGGCAGAGGUGGGAAAACUAAGUCUAGAAGCCACCUAAGUCUGGGUGGGGAGCACACUUGUCACAGUCACUAAUGGCCCCUUGGCUUCUAGCUACAGCUGUUUGUCAGCUGCUGCCCACUAAGUCUCUCAGACUCUUUCAACACAACCCUUUUGCUCAAAGAUCUAAGUCCCUCCCCCACUGAUUUGUUAUAGCCCAGUCUGUCUGUUGCUGGAAUUUCCUGGCAGCCUGCCCCUAUACCCAGGGUUGCAUCUGUGGCUAUGAGUCAUACCAAAUGCUCCCUUCCUCCCUUACCAGGUUCGCUUGUUGUCAAAGAAGAGGACGAGGUAGAGAUGCUCUCGGGCUUCCUGGGUCAUCUGCUCCCCAAGUUUCAGCACCUCCAGUGGGGGCACAGGAAUGGGAACCCCAUGGUGGAACAUACCUUCCCGGGGCAUCUUUGGAUCAAUUAUCUGAGGGUGUAAUAAGACCUUUGUUUGGUUCAGUCCCCUUCUUCUGCAUGGCUUACUUUACCUAAGAACUGAGAGACUAUCUCUGAAGUGAGGACACAAAGUUACUAGCCUGCAAAGCUGACCCCUGGCUUAAGAUGAACUAUUUCAGACCCCAGGGUGCAAAGAGAAGGAAAAGGGAGACAAGGAAAAACUAACCGGGAACCUCUUAAGUGUCUAUCUGCCAAAGACCCUUGUUCUCUGCAGCUCAGCAGAGAAGAACCUUGGGUCUGAACCAUCUUAAUCUAGGCUGGGGUGGUUGUCACCCCACUUGCAUAGGGAAACCUGGAAGGGCAUCCUGGAGACAGGCCUUGCUUUGGAGGGCUGGUACCUGGUUCGGUCUGAGGCAGCGCUGCUGCUGCUACUGCUGCUGGACUCAGAGUCGGAGCUGCUCCGGGGAAGGCUGCAGUCAUUACGAUAUACCAAGAAACUCUUCUUCACUGGCUGAUUUCCACCGCUGAAGCCAUUGGCUGGAUACUGCCCUCCAGGAUUGGCUGUCAGCCCUUCCACAUGGGUUUUCACACCCAUGAGGGUACCAGCAUGUGUGUCUGUGGAGACCCAAGGUCACAGGAUACCUGGAGCAUCCAUUCUACUUAAUCUCUACACCCAGUGUGAGGCUUGAGCUCACGACCCUGAGGCCAAGAGUCUCAUGCUCUUCUGACUGAGCCAGCCAGAUGCUCCUGCAAUGUAAUUUGACUACAAUUAUGGAUUCAUAAGGAAAAAACUGUCAAGAACUGUAUAUACAUCCAUAUUUCCAUGAGCAGUAUCCUGAGUGAUUUCUUAUUUCAUUUCUCCAUCCUUGAAAUUUUCUACAGCAAUGUUGGGUUACUUUCAUAAUUGAAAGAAACUAUUAUCUUCAUUAUGAAUUACAUAAACCAUUGUUUUUAGGGAAAAGGGAAAUCUAUAGGCAUAUUAAUCUCCCUGAAAUCUUUCCAUUUAUAUUCUUUUUAAAAAUUUUAUCUUUUUUACUUUCAAGCUUUCUGAGGUACUUUGUUUUAGCUAGUUCUUUUCUAUUCAGCAUAUUAUAGGGUUUACUUAUUUUUUUAUUCAAUCAGAGAAUCUUUUUCUUUUAAUAGGUGAACUUAUCCAAUUUAUGCUUGAUGAUAUAUGUUUCAUUUUAGUUCUGUCAUUUUAUUUUAUUUGCAUUUUAGAAAGUGAUUUGA
This is a long non-coding RNA of Canis lupus familiaris (dog), 4815 nucleotides long. RefSeq lists it as uncharacterized. The record is from RefSeq and is a predicted model, not a curated record. The transcript has 4 exons. NCBI's taxonomy places the organism in Eukaryota, Metazoa, Chordata, Mammalia, Carnivora, Canidae.